AGAGAGAGAGAGGGGGGGGAGGAGAGAGAGAGGUGUGGGCCUUAAAUGGGCUGAGCGGUAGUUCGAACAGAUGGAACCGAAUUCUGGCAACUUCGUUGAUUACUGGCUCGCCAGUUGAUUCAGCCGUCCAGAGACUCCAUAGCCCUUGACUACCACGUGGCAUUUCAGUGGGCCUUUCGAAUUGGGCACAGAAUCUUCAAGUUGUGUCGUCCACAAGUCAUAAUCGCCAGGAGAAAGUCCACAUCCGAGCUAUCACGCUGCAUUGUCCAAUUCCAUGAAUUAUAAUAUAAGAAACACGAUGCCCACUGGCACCUGAGAAAAAAAUUUCCUGAGCUCAGGCCUGCGUUACACAGCUCAUCAUGAUUGUUCUGAAGGUAUUAACGUACACAGUAUUCACAGGAAUUCAGUAACCAAGUAUAAUUGUUGAGGCAUACCUGAAAUAAUCACCACUUUCAACCCUUGCCGGCAUCAACGAAGAGGAUGCUGUGGAAGGAGUGAGGAAAAUAUGAAGAAGAUGACAGAGGAGGCGGUCUGGUCUGCAGAUGGGUUUCACCAAGGAGACUCUGUUAAUGGUGAUGAGGAUGAGGAGAGGGGCUCGAACAAAGGCCCCAACUAUUGCACAUCUAAUUUUCUUUUACCUGGCUGCUGCUCCGACGUUCAGUGAGGCGAGUAGAUGGGCCUCGUGACAGAGCAUCUGGUUGAAGAUUUCUUCCGGAAGCAAGGCCGAUCAGGAUUGACGCCUCGAAUGGUUUGAACACACAGACUCUGAUGUGGGCGAACAGGUUCAGAGGUCCGCAAAACGGUCAUCCACACGGCAGACAUCAAAUGCCCUCCUGAGAAUCCAGCACCAACCCGUAGAGCCGACCCAAGGCUCGGGUUAGUGAGAGAGAGAGAGACAGAGGAGGGGGGGGGGGAGCUCGCCUUGUAUAUGCUCCAGUCGAAGAGUAGUGGAGGGGUUUUGGCAACUAAGAGCAAGCUGAUGAAGAGGAGCCCAACACAGAUCAAUGACAAUAUGGGACGUUGGAGGCAUCACCAUAGCAGGAACACCAAUAAGAGAGAGACACCAGUAACUAAUACUCCCCAAUUACUUAGUCAUGAAAUCAUCUCUAUAUUCAUAUUCAUAUUCAUCAUAUUUGCCGCUCUCUAAGGAGUCAGAAUAGAGAGUGUUAAAAGGUCAAUGACUGCAGAAAGUAUGAGGUAGAUAGAGGUCAUGUGGAGCUUGGAGGACCACAGGCUACUUGAUCGGCUGUGGUGGUUGACCUACGAGCAAGACAAUGCCAGCGAAAUCAGGAAAGCAGCUAACAUCUGACAUUCUCACUCCUGAAAGAGCCCCAAAUAUGAUGAAUAAGAAGAAUACGAGGAUGACCCCCUGACUAAGGAAUUGGGGACUGUGGGUCGCAAAUAUCUCUCUCUCAGUGGUGUUCAUGUUACGGUGUUGUCUCCAAUUUCCUAGGUUGUUGCUGAUCUAUGCUGGGCUUCUCUUUAUCAGUAUGUUGCUGAUCACCAUGACCCCUCCUGUUCUCUUCGAUUGGAGCAAAUACGAGGCAAGCUCUCCACCCAUUGAAGCAGAGCACCGCACAGAGGAUCGGCACCCAAAUAUCAGCAAAGAGUUAACAACAGCAAAACUUUGAUCACAGUUUGCAGGAGGGUAAUAAUCGUGAAUUUGGUAGACACUUGGAUGGCAGACAUGAUGAACACUUGCUAAACACCAAGUAUUCUUUCAAACAUCCCGGAAGCAGUCCUCUUAAAAAAAAAGCCGCCAUUCCAACAAGAAAUCACAUCUCUCACGGCCAAUUACCGUGGCUAUUUCUCAUCCUAAGCAUAUCUAUUCGAUAAAUCCAUAAACUGCCUCAAGGAAGACAGCUUCACAUUCAACCAUGGACAACCACUAUUGAACCCUCCAAAAUUCCUGAUUACUUCUCUCUAAUGUAAACAAAAACAUAAUCCCACAGGUAUUUUAAAAAAAAAUGGUGUUUUAGAAUGAGCGGCAGCAACAUCAGACAUGAAUCAAAUACUUCAAGAAAGCCGAUUCCAUGGACUUAAUCACAAAAUUUCUCAUAUAAGAUUCGCAUCUGACGAUAAAAAACCACCGCGAGUUCCCCUAAAAGUAGACACCGAAGCCCUUCAGAAACCCAGAUCCACUCCACACACAAGAUUCGUCUCAAAUCAUCUGCCAAAAAGGUCAACGUACCCCAGAUCCCUGAGCUGAUAACCACGCAAUCUCAGUCAUCCCAGCACGCAGAGUAGAGAGCGAAGGGUAGAAGAAUACGCCGGGAAAGGGGGAUCGGGGCGGGGGGUGAAACAGAUGACAGAAAGGUAGAUCGACCAAUACGGAGCUGCUGAGAACAGGGCGACAAAACGGGUUGAACCAGAGAGAUCCGAUCACUUCUAAGAGGAAGGAAGAGAAAAGCUACGCUGCAACACUGAAUGAGAGAGAAAGAGAGAGAGAGAGAGAGAGAGAGAGAGAGAGAGAGAGAGAGAGAGAGAGAGACG
RNAcentral lists this long non-coding RNA (2493 nucleotides) under Spirodela polyrhiza (greater duckweed). Its description in RNAcentral is "long non-coding RNA (SPOL_LNC000128)". The record is from RNAcentral. Lineage: Eukaryota; Viridiplantae; Streptophyta; Magnoliopsida; Alismatales; Araceae.